Molecule: unclassified non-coding RNA, 113 nt
Filed under: Chryseobacterium takakiae
Lineage: Bacteria; Pseudomonadati; Bacteroidota; Flavobacteriia; Flavobacteriales; Weeksellaceae
Description: Flavo-1 RNA
Source: RNAcentral
GCCUAGCCCCGAUUGAAGCUAUUGUUUGAGCUCAUUUCUGUUUUCGGGUUGCGGCGGCUUCGCCGCCGCAACCCGAAAACAGAAAUGAGCGAGUGCGGAAAGCGGGAAAAGCU